RNAcentral lists this long non-coding RNA (4555 nucleotides) under Sus scrofa (pig). RNAcentral describes it as "lncRNA (ENSSSCG00065012009.1)". Lineage: Eukaryota; Metazoa; Chordata; Mammalia; Artiodactyla; Suidae. The record is from RNAcentral.
UACUUUUUUUUUUUUUUUUUUUGACAUUUCUUGGGCCGCUCCCAUGGCAUAUGGGAGGUUUCCAGGCUAGAGGUCUAAUCAGAGCUGUAGCCACUGGCCUACACUAGAGCCACAGCAACGCGGGAUCCAAGCCGUGUCUGCAACCUACACCACAGCUCAUGGCAACGCUGGAUCAUUAACCCACAAGCAAGGGCAGGGAUCGAACCCGCAACCUCAUGGUUCCUAGUCGGAUUCGUUAACCACUGCACCAUGACGGGAACUCCCAAUGAUACAUAUUUUAAAAUAUGUAUAUCAAACAAAAUAAAUCUUUUUUAAGGUUCGAAUGAUGUACUCAGAAUUUCUGUUUAGAUAAGAUUGAGGAGGGGAGAAAUUUCUUUCUUUUCUAGUUACUGGAAGAAACAUUAGAUUUUAAGAGUUUAUUUAAGUGAUUAAAGGAGUGAGCAGGGAGGAAACAACUUACACCUUUCUGAUGUCAAGCAGAGGAUCUGCCUGAGGUCUACCUGAGACUGAGUUGUUGAGCAGUUCCUCCAGAAAGUGACUGAGUCCUCUCUUGCUCUUGGAAGGUGCCUAGUCUUAAGGAAUCAAAUGGGUCAUCAAAGAACAUGUACUCACCCAUCUAAAAGAAGGUCUGGGGGAUGAAUUUUUUCAUUGGGGGUGGACCAAGGUCAAGUGGCUGUGUUUCAGGAUUGGUAACCUCCUCAAACAUCACAGGAAAUGUUUUGUCUUUCACCCUUUUUUCACUCUGUGCCUCCCUUAUUUUCUAUACAGAAAUAGAAAAGUAAGGAGAUAGAUGAAUCCUUCUGGAAUAUCAAAAAGGAAAAUCUAAGAACCGUUUUCCUUGACUAUUUAUGUUUGAAUAGAAACCAUGGACAUGUACUAGAAAUAUAAUACCCUUGCGCUAGGUUUUGACUAAAUAACUCUUGUGUUGUUCGAGACUUCAGUUAAUGUCCUCGUGCUUCCUAAUAGUUAUUAGCUAUAAUUAAAAUUAUUUAAAAUGAAAAGGCUUCUUAUGUGAGGUAAAACAAUGGGUAAUUUAGAUUAUAGUAAAAUUCUAUCUAGUCUGUAUAGUGAUUCAAAUAAAUGUAUGGUGUUGGGUUUAAAGCACGUUCUCCACAAACACUCGGUUAAUUUUCUUUAUUUACAAAGUUGUAUUGGGGGAGUUCCCGUUGUGGUGCAGCGGAGACAAAUCUGACUAGUAUUCAUGAGGAUGCAGGCUUGAUCCCUGGCCUCCCUCAGUGGGUCGGGGCUCUGGCGUUGCCGUGAGCUGUGGUGUCAGUUGCAGACGUGGCUUGGAUCUGGCAUUGCUGUGGCUGUGUGUAGGCCCAGCCUUGUUCCACCCCUAGCCUGGGAACUUCCAUGUGCUGCGAGUACGACCCUAAAAAGCAAAAAUAAAAUGGAAAAAAAAAAUUGUAUUAGCAAAAUGUACUUCAUAAACAUUAUUACCAGGUGACAUUUGUUGGACUUUUUAAAGAAAAUUUUAAUCUCUAGCUCUGUACAUAGUUGUAAAACUAAAAAAAGUUGAGAAUUAAAAAACUUUUCAUUGUGACUAAGUCCUUAGGUGAAAAAAAUUACUAUCUUCUAUCAACUAUUCCAUAUUAAUCUCUUGAUUUCUCCAAAGCUUUUUGCCAUCUCCUUAAGGUAGCAGUUGAUACAACCAUAUAUCCAUCACAUGUCCUAAGAUAAUGUAAUACUCAAAACAAAUUGAUGGAACAGAUGAUUUAGACACAAAAACAAAAGCCCAAAAAUGGAUCAGUCAGAGAGCUAUCUUGUCACUAUAAAUAAUUUAUGCAUUUUAUAAUAUGCAAUCCUAAAAAAUAUUGCAUCCAGGGGUUGCAAAUGAAAAAGAAAAAAACCCCAGAAAUUUAGAGAAUAAUGAAAGUUAUUUAUAAGAUUAAAACCAUCAGAAUCUGCCAGACUCAUUUACACCAAAAUAAGUUUUUUUGUGACUGUGUAUCUGUGUGUAUGUUCCUGAGUGGUGUGAUGUGGUGUGUGUGUGUGUGUGUGUGCAUGUGUCUAUUGUGUAGGAGUCUGUUUUGUAUCUCUGUAUUUGUGUCUCUAUGUGCAAGUCUGUCUGUCAACGUUUAUAUAUCUGUUGAGUUUUGGGGCAGGAGCCAGGAAGCAGAUUAUAGUGGUAUAAAAGAAAGAAAGGCAUCCAUUCUUGGAUGGAAGAUUUCUUAUCCAUCUUCCAUUGGAUAAGAAAAGAGAGGGGUAUUUUAACCCCCCCAGCACCCUCCUCCCAGACGUUAGGUGAAAUAAUUGAAUAAUUUUAUGUCUGUAAGUUUUAUACAUUUUAAUAAACAUGUAUUACAAAAGAAAUGCAUGUUCAUUAUUUUAUAUUUCAAAUAAAUCAAAUACUCAUUAAUAACCACUUUUUAUAUAUCCUUCCCGUUUUUUUACGUAUACGUACAUAUACAAUUUUGCAAUAUGGAAUUAUCCUAAAUAAACCGUUUUUUAGCAAUAGGACAUGAAGUCAAAUUCUUGCUUAUUCUAUCCCUAACACAUAGCACAGGUCAGGGUAUGUGAAAGGCAUUGAGAAAUAAAAUAUCACCUGCCAUAUCAGUAAAUAAAGGAUCUAUCGGAUUCGUUAACCGCUGAGCCAUGACGGGAACUCCUAGUUUUCUCUUAAUAAUAAUAAUCUGUUGACUUUCUGAGCACCUCCCCUUUGUUGCAAAAACUCCUGAAUAUCCCGGCUGCCCCCUCAUCUCCUAGGAACAAUUUUCCCAGUGUUAUCUGAGAUGCUGUCUCCUGCGUUUGUGGUCCUAAAAAAUGUCUGCCAAAUAAAACAUAACUUUCAGCUUUUAAGUUAUGCAUUUUUUUUUCAGUUGAUAGCAUUUGGAAAACAUCUGUUAAAUAAGUGGAGGAUUCCUUUGUGAUUGUCUUUGCAGUAUUUUUUCCUUUGGUAUGUUUAUAUAUUUAUUUGUGAAUUCUAUGUGAAUUGAAGAUUUUAGUUCUUUGUAUGUUACAAAUGCUGUUUUCCUCUAUUUAUACUUAAUUUUAUUUUUCCAAAAAUAGAAAAUAACAUUCAGUUUAAUUGAAUUGAAUGAGAUAUCUGAUUUAAUACAAAUGGUGCUUCAUUGAGACCUUUAAAUAAAUAAAUAAAUUCUAUAUAUAGGAGCAAAAUGCUGAAUACUCCUUAGUAGAGAUUCUGCUGUUUAUUUAAGUAAAGCUAUAUAGAAAUGAUUUAUAGAUAUUAUCAUAGAAUAUGCCCAAAAGCAGUGAAUGUUUACAUCAGACUGACUUGGUUGUUAUCUCAUUUCUGUCCCUCAGCAGCUGUGUGAUGGGGAAAAAAAAAUCACUUAGUGCCUCUGAACAUCUGUAAUUUGAGAAUAUUCAAGCCUCCCUCCCUGAGUUUGUGGCAUUCCAUUCCUUGAUGGGAGUUUCCAAAAUGGAUACUUAGUCUUAAGUAUGGGAAUAGACUAGAUCUAGAGCCCCAAAUUGGGCUCAGGUUCUCUGUCAAAAAAUGUAAGAUCACACACACACACACACACACACACACACACACACACACACACAUACAACAUAUAUAAUGUAUAUGCAUAGUGUUUUGUUUUUGCCGUAAUUAUUUUGAAACACCUGGGUUUUACUGUGUUAUGUUUUGUACUUCUUGGAGAGAAGUUUUUUUCUCUACCAACUCUGUUGACUUUUUAAAAGCAAAUAGUCUGUAUUCUUUAGUUUUCGCUUGAAAGAAUCUUGGUAUCAUGAAAUGGAACUACUAGUACAGUUUUAAAUGGAAUAAACUACUGAACAAUUCUUUAACUAUUUAAAUUACUCCAUUAACUUUAGUUCAGUAAAAGCAACAUCAUGAAGUGCUCUAGUUCACUCUGUUUUUUUUCCUAGAAUAUUACUGAAUUAGAAAUCUAAUUUUACUCUUGUUGUGUUGUUACCAUCAAUAUGUAAAACAUAGGAAGUCUAUCAAGCUUUCUAAUGUGACCACUGUGCAAAGUCUCAUGGUGAUUUUUAUAGAGUGGUGUUUACUCAACCUGCAAAUAUUUACUUUAACACUGAGCUUGCUUACAUGACUCUUUUACUAACUCUUUUGUCCAAGCAUAAAGUCUUUUACUACUUUCAUGAAAUUAAUUAUAGAUCUUUUUGGGAAUUAGCCUAACACUGUUGUCUUCCUAAAUAGAGGAAGCUUCCCCUUGUCCAGCCCAGGUCAGAGUAUCACACAUUUUGAUUUAAUUAAGGAAUGAAACUCGAAGGUAAUAUGCUCUAUGUUGCCAUUGUCAGAAUGGAAAUGGUUCAUGAUGUUUUAGUUAGAUUAUUAUUAAAAAUAAUGGAGUAAACAAUAUUUUCAUUCAAAAAUACAAGUUUUUUUUAGGACCGUGAUUAGUUUAUUCUCCCAUGAACCAAUGUGUGAAAGCCCUUUUGAGGAAGCAACGACAUGUGGAAGCUAUGUUAAAAUCUUUCAAACUUAAAAAAAAAAAAGCUAGAAAAAAAAAUUCAUGUUUUUCAUAUUUUGGUGCUAUUGUAUUUCCAGCUAUCUUUUGGUAGUUACAGAAAUAUGAAUUUUGUGUGUUGACUUUAAAAAAAAAAAAAAAAAAAAAAAAAAAAAAAA